GGGACUUAAGAGGAAGAGUAUGUUGGAGGGAAGAUGAUAUUCCCUAAUUCUUCAAAGCCUCUUCUGUGCUUGUCAGUUCACACUGCCCUUCUUAUUGUGCUCUACCAUAUUGUAUAGGCACUCCAUAUAUGUAAAUAUUUACAAAUGCAUCUUUGGGAGGAUACAUAAGAAACUUUUAACAGUGAUUGCCUCUAGAAAAGGGAACUUGGUGGGAUUGGGAAGAACCCUUACUUUCAUUUUGCAUUUUUUGAACUAUGUAUCAUAUACAUGUGUUACCUACUUAAAAAAAAGAAUAUUAUAAAGCAGAUGAAAAAUAAAAUAGAAAAACCUAAUACCUCUCCAAUACAUUUCCAUAUUCUGCACUUUAAUCACAAAAUUCUUCUGCAUCCUGUGCCCUUACUUGUCCAUGAAACCCUUCCCUGACCAUUCUAAUUCAUAUCCUAGCCUUUCUGACUAUUUGGUGUGGGAAUGAAUGGGAAGAAGGAAAUGGGACUAGAAAGUUCAGACUAUUCUUGCAGAAGAUUAGUGGAGAAAGGAAGGAUAUUAGGUAAUGUGAAACCUUGGAGUCCAGGGAGGUUUUCUAAUUUAGGUCUUUCCUUAUUUGUGACUAGGAGAGAUAUUUGCACCUGUCUAAUAGGUGUAGGGGGAAAGACUGGAGAGAGGGGAGAGAAGUUGAAGACAAAGGAAAUGGAGAGGUUGUAAACGGGUUUACCAAAACCUAUCAGCCAUGUUGGGAUAGAGUUGCAAAUGAAUGUAUUUCUAGAGAACUGCUCAGAAAUGGUUCUGAAAGCCUGAAAAGCUCUCUGUAAGGAACCAGAUUUCAGAACAGGCCUCUCUCUGGCCAUUUCCUACAGCAACUCUUCACAAUUAGUCCUUUUGGGUCUGCUGAGUUCUAUCAAGCAAUCAUUCAACAAAUGUUGAAUGACCAUUAUGAGUAAAGUCACGGCACGGGACAGGGAUUGUAUGGCUUAAUUAAAUAUACUGACUUGACAUUCACAAAGGAAAGAAAGGUUCUGUGAGAAAAAGUUGCUUAAAUAUAGGUUUUGAGAUGGAUUCAAGUCCACAGAACCAAUACAGUGCUUGGUUCCUAGUAGGUGUCCAGUAAGUGUUUGUGACAUAAUUUGUUUAUUGAGGACCUCCUAUCAAUCAAGCACUGUGCUAGGCUCUGGGACUACAUAGAUAAGUUAUUCAACAUCCUACAUUUUGAGGUACUUAGGCCUAGUGGUGGUUACAGUAGAGUGAUUAAUAUUUUGACAAAGGUACAAACGGGUAGGAGAGGAUCUACCCCAGAAACAGAACCAGAUUUCAGUGUGUUGAGGGGUGAAAAGGAAAAGAGUAAGUGAAGAUGGUGAAUGUAAAUGGUUCUUUAAAAGUUUUUAAACUGUUCUUAAACUGCUUUUAAAAAGCUUGGUUAGAAAGAAAAGGAGAGACAGGGCAACAAACAGAGAAAGAGAUAAGGUGGAGGGACUGUUUCUUAAAUGAUGGGAGGUUUCAGCAUAUUGUUGUGCAGAGGACAAAGAACCAUUGGAGAGGGAAGGAGUGAAGAUUCGAAGUUAGGACAGUGAUUGAUGAAAAGAGAUGUCUGAAUAUAUAGGAAGAGAUGGAAGAGAAAGUUGGCCAGGAACUCCUGAAGAAGUUAUCAUGUGGUGCCAAUAACUCUCCUGAAGAAGGAAACCAUAAAUUUUCAGGUGGUACCAGGUCAAAAUGUGGUUAAAACUAGAGAAAAGAAAAUGGUUGCAAUAAUAGAUUAUAGAGCCUAGGCAAGUCAGAAAAAAUAAUUAGGAUGGACUGAUAAACUGACAGAAACCAGGAGCCCAUAGAAUAGGAGUAGUAUGGGCAAGGAAGUAAAAGCCCUCACUGGAAAAUAAAAGUAGCUGAAGAGUAGGGUAUACGAAUUUAAGAUUUCAGAAGUAGAG
This 1916-nucleotide long non-coding RNA is filed under the name Homo sapiens (human). RNAcentral describes it as "HSALNT0283877". The stretch from base 1072 to 1169 matches the Rfam family "mir-325 microRNA precursor family". The record is from RNAcentral. Lineage: Eukaryota; Metazoa; Chordata; Mammalia; Primates; Hominidae.